AGUGAACGCUGGCGGUAGGCCUAACACAUGCAAGUCGAACGGCAGCACAGUAUGCGCUUGCUCUUACGGGUGGCGAGUGGCGGGUGGGUGAGGAAUACAUCGGCAUCUACUUUUUCGUGGGGGAUAACGUAGGGAAACUUACGCUAAUACCGCAUACGACCUACGGGUGAAAGCAGGGGAUCUUCGGCCCUUGCGCGAUUGAAUGAGCCGAUGUCGGAUUAGCUAGUUGGCGGGGUAAAGGCCCACCAAGGCGACGAUCCGUAGCUGGUCUGAGAGGAUGAUCAGCCACACUGGAACUGAGACACGGUCCAGACUCCUACGGGAGGCAGCAGUGGGGAAUAUUGGACAAUGGGCGCAAGCCUGAUCCAGCCAUACCGCGUGGGUGAAGAAGGCCUUCGGGUUGUAAAGCCCUUUUGUUGGGAAAGAAAAGCAGUAGGUUAAUACCCCGCUGUUCUGACGGUACCCAAAGAAUAAGCACCGGCUAACUUCGUG
This 492-nucleotide ribosomal RNA is filed under the name uncultured bacterium. RNAcentral's name for it is "partial 16S ribosomal RNA". It matches the Rfam family "Bacterial small subunit ribosomal RNA", at positions 29 to 507 of the family's 1533-position model. The record is from RNAcentral.